Molecule: ribosomal RNA, 497 nt
Filed under: uncultured bacterium
Lineage: Bacteria
Description: partial 16S ribosomal RNA
Rfam family: Bacterial small subunit ribosomal RNA
Source: RNAcentral
GAUGAACGCUGGCGGCGUGCCUAAUACAUGCAAGUCGAGCGAACGGACGAGAAGCUUGCUUCUCUGAUGUUAGCGGCGGACGGGUGAGUAACGCGUGGAUAACCUACCUAUAAGACUGGGAUAACUUCGGGAAACCGGAGCUAAUACCGGAUAAUAUUUUGAACCGCAUGGUUCAAAAGUGAAAGACGGUCUUGCUGUCACUUAUAGAUGGAUCAGCGCUGCAUUAGCUAGUUGGUAAGGUAACGGCUUACCAAGGCAACGAUGCAUAGCCGACCUGAGAGGGUGAUCGGCCACACUGGAACUGAGACACGGUCCAGACUCCUACGGGAGGCAGCAGUAGGGAAUCUUCCGCAAUGGGCGAAAGCCUGACGGAGCAACGCCGCGUGAGUGAUGAAGGUCUUCGGAUCGUAAAACUCUGUUAUUAGGGAAGAACAUAUGUGUAAGUAACUGUGCACAUCUUGACGGUACCUAAUCAGAAAGCCACGGCUAACUACGUG